This 463-nucleotide ribosomal RNA is filed under the name uncultured bacterium. Its description in RNAcentral is "partial 16S ribosomal RNA". It matches the Rfam family "Bacterial small subunit ribosomal RNA", at positions 28 to 507 of the family's 1533-position model. The record is from RNAcentral.
GACGAACGCUGGCGGCGUGCUUAACACAUGCAAGUCGAACGGAAAGGCCUUUUCGGAGGUACUCGAGCGGCGAACGGGUGAGUAACACGUGGGUGAUCUGCCCUGCACUCUGGGAUAAGCCUGGGAAACUGGGUCUAAUACCGGAUAGGACCGCACUUUAGUGUGUGUGGUGGAAAGUUUUUUCGGUGUAGGAUGAGCCCGCGGCCUAUCAGCUUGUUGGUGGGGUAAUGGCCUACCAAGGCGGCGACGGGUAGCCGGACUGAGAGGUUGGUCGGCCACAUUGGGACUGAGAUACGGCCCAGACUCCUACGGGAGGCAGCAGUGGGGAAUAUUGCACAAGGGGCGCAAGCCUGAUGCAGCGACGCCGCGUGGGGGAUGACGGCCUUCGGGUUGUAAACUCCUUUCGCCAGGGACGAAGCGUUUUGUGACGGUACCUGGAGAAGAAGCACCGGCUAACUACGUG